UGAAAGUAGUGGGCUGUUUUCAACAGUGGGAAGAGAUGUUGCCUCCUUGAGAAAGGAAAUGAGGAUGAUGUCAAGGAUUUUGAUGACACUAUUUGCUGAGAUUUGCAACAUUCUGGGAGGAACAGCUGUGAAUACAAGAUGCUGACUCCAGAACUGCAACUCAUUCUGCAGAGGGCACCAGCCUUCCCCACUAAUGACCGCUGAGCUGAGCCACCUGAAGCCUGAGUGAGGUUUAACAGCAGCUGCACUUCUGCUCCAAGAAACAGCUGGCUGCAAUCAGAUCACACUGAGGCUCUUCCCCACGUCACCUGGAAGCUUGGGUAUUUGUUUUCAGAGCAUUAAACAGGAAAGUCAGAUCCAGGCAGAGACAAGACUGCAGAGGAGCAUCCUGGGGAAAAGUAGGACCCUUAAUACUUACAGCAUGGAGGCACCUUCCUUUAACAUUAAAUUUGUCAGAACGAAAAUUUGUCUAUGUAAACCAGGGACUUGUCUUUGGCGUCCUCUCAGGGCUUUUGGGAACUGAGUUCUCUAUUACCAGCUGCAUAUAGUUCAGCUAACUGUUGGGGGCAUGCAAGCAAGGUUAUAAAGCACGACCUCUGCGCUCCAGGAAAGCCCACUGGGAAGAAGGUGGAAAAACAGAGGGUUAUACCCUUGCAAAUCAAAGUGCGUUCUGAGGAUCAGCGGCGUUACCUGGGAGCUUCCUAGAAACAGUGUCGGGGGCCUCAUCCCAGACUUGUUCAAUAAGAAUCUGCAUUUUAACAAGAUGCCCA
Long non-coding RNA from Orcinus orca (killer whale), 770 nucleotides. RefSeq lists it as uncharacterized. The transcript is spliced from 4 exons. NCBI's taxonomy places the organism in Eukaryota, Metazoa, Chordata, Mammalia, Artiodactyla, Delphinidae. The record is from RefSeq and is a predicted model, not a curated record.